UAGUUCUCUGAUCUGAGUGAUGUCAUCUGAAUUUCACAUGCCACUUGGGCUGCGAUUGGUUGGUCACCUGUCUUUCAGCCAAUCGCAGCUUGGCUUAAUCUCCAUAAACGUGUUGCUUGACGGUGCCCCUCUAAAGCCACUUCCCCCGUCUCUGGAUGGGAAUAGUGUGACAGAUUUGAAAGCAUUAGUUAUUACACAAUUCAUUUCUGUUCAGUCAAAGAAAAACAAUCCUUCAGUACGAGAAAUGUAAAAGUUAAUGGAGUAGUGUCUUCACCUUUUUAUAUUACACACACCGGACUGAUCAGAGGAUGCACAUCUAGUGCGGGUGUGUAUGCAUCCAUACAUGCCUAGUGUGCCAGUGGGACUAUGAAUGGACAGUGACGGGUGUGACUGUCAGAGGAAGCAGUACACAAGUGAUCGCCCCACCAGCACUUAUCUGAGAGGAAAAGGGAAGAAAUAAGGAGAGAGAUCCCUUCCAGGUGGGCCGGACCUGGACAAAGUCAAGGAGGGCCCAGAAGGUUCUGAGACGUCCUCUACAGAGGAGCUGAAGUGACGACUGCUUGGCCCUGCAGGAAUAUCGGGCCAUGAGCCUUCCAUCUGCUCAUUAUUUAUACAUGCAUGCAUGCUUAGUCACUUGCCUUUCCACAUUUACUUUAAAGCAAACACUGAGUUGGUGAGUAAUUAGAAACACACAUGCGACAGGGAUACCCAUGAUGGUUCUGUAUCUACCAAACUGAAUGUGUAUUCUUCACAAUAAAUCAAUCCCGUUGA
Molecule: long non-coding RNA, 771 nt
Organism: Salvelinus fontinalis (brook trout)
Lineage: Eukaryota; Metazoa; Chordata; Actinopteri; Salmoniformes; Salmonidae
Exons: 3
Source: RefSeq, a predicted model, not a curated record